Molecule: ribosomal RNA, 497 nt
Filed under: uncultured bacterium
Lineage: Bacteria
Description: partial 16S ribosomal RNA
Rfam family: Bacterial small subunit ribosomal RNA
Source: RNAcentral
GAUGAACGCUGGCGGCGUGCCUAAUACAUGCAAGUCGAGCGAACAGACGAGGAGCUUGCUCCUCUGACGUUAGCGGCGGACGGGUGAGUAACACGUGGAUAACCUACCUAUAAGACUGGGAUAACUUCGGGAAACCGGAGCUAAUACCGGAUAACAUGUUGAACCGCAUGGUUUAACAGUGAAAGACGGUCUUGCUGUCACUUAUAGAUGGAUCCUCGCCGCAUUAGCUAGUUGGUAAGGUAACGGCUUACCAAGGCAACGAUGCGUAUCCGGCCUGAAAGGGAGAAAGGCAACAAUGGAGCAAAGAAGAAGUACAGAAUCAAGAGAGAGGCAGAAGUAGGAAAUCUUAAGCGAUGAGCGAAAGGCUGACGGAGAAAAACAGCGUGAGUAAAGAAGGUAUUCAGAUCAUAGAACUCUGUUAAUAGAGAAGAACGAAUGUGUGAGUAACUAAGGACAUCAUGACGGUACCUAGUGAGAAAGCCACGGCUAACUACGUG